CAUGCAAGUCGAACGAGAGGACAAGAGAAGCUUGCUUCUUUUGGAAUCGAGUGGCAAACGGGUGAGUAACACGUAAACAACCUGCCUACAGGAUGGGGACAACAGACGGAAACGACUGCUAAUACCGAAUACGCUUGGGAGACCGCAUGAUCUUCCAAGGAAAGGGUGGCCUCUACCUGUAAGCUAUCGCCUGAAGAGGGGUUUGCGUCUGAUUAGGCAGUUGGCGAGGUAACGGCCCACCAAACCUACGAUCAGUAGCCGGUCUGAGAGGAUGAACGGCCACACUGGAACUGAGACACAGUCCAGACUCCUACGGGAGGCAGCAGUGGGGAAUCUUCCGCAAUGGGCGAAAGCCUGACGGAGCAACGCCGCGUGAGUGAUGACGGCCUUCGGGUUGUAAAGCUCUGUGAUCGGGGACGAACGGUCCGUAAGUCAAUACCUUAUGGAAGUGACGGUACCCGAAUAGCAAGCCACGGCCAACUACGUGCCAGCAGCCGCGGUAAUACGUAGGUGGCAAGCGUUGUCCGGAAUUAUUGGG
This 538-nucleotide ribosomal RNA is filed under the name uncultured bacterium. Its description in RNAcentral is "bacterial SSU rRNA". It matches the Rfam family "Bacterial small subunit ribosomal RNA", at positions 54 to 558 of the family's 1533-position model. The record is from RNAcentral.